This 274-nucleotide ribosomal RNA is filed under the name uncultured bacterium. Its description in RNAcentral is "partial 16S ribosomal RNA". It matches the Rfam family "Bacterial small subunit ribosomal RNA", at positions 79 to 353 of the family's 1533-position model. The record is from RNAcentral.
CUAAGUUUGAUGGCGACCGGCGCACGGGUGAGUAACACGUAUCCAACCUGCCGAUGACUCGGGGAUAGCCUUUCGAAAGAAAGAUUAAUACCCGAUGGCAUAGUUCUUCCGCAUGGUGGAACUAUUAAAGAAUUUCGGUCAUCGAUGGGGAUGCGUUCCAUUAGGUUGUUGGCGGGGUAACGGCCCACCAAGCCUUCGAUGGAUAGGGGUUCUGAGAGGAAGGUCCCCCACAUUGGAACUGAGACACGGUCCAAACUCCUAGGGAGGCAGCAUG